Molecule: long non-coding RNA, 937 nt
Organism: Chenopodium quinoa (quinoa)
Lineage: Eukaryota; Viridiplantae; Streptophyta; Magnoliopsida; Caryophyllales; Amaranthaceae
Exons: 2
Source: RefSeq, a predicted model, not a curated record
AAUAAGCGACGCAAAUAAGUAAUGUGCAGCAUUACACUUUGAGUUAUUUGCAUCACAUUUUAUUAGUUGAGUGACGCAAAUCACUCUUUUGCAUUUAGGUUUUUUUCGGAUUCCACUUGCUAGCUGCCUCCCUUUUACUAAAACAAAAAAACAGCACUACUCCUAUCUUCCAAGAACAGCGAUUUCCUACAGCUAAACACCCAGAAUUUCGAGCAAAAAAACCUCAGAAAUUCGAGCAAAAAAAACCCAGAAAUUCGACCCAUACACCCCAAGAAAUUCGAGCAAAAAUCAACCUGAAAUUCAAGGAAUUUCGACCUAAAAACCCCUAGAAAAUCGACCCAAAAACCCUAUGAAAUCGACCCAAAAACCCCAGAAAUUCAACCUAAAAACCCCAAUAAAUUCGACCCAAAAAACCCCCACAAAUUCAACAAUCAAACCGCAAUGUUGACAACACCCAUAAUCGGAAAAAAUUCAGGUUUACAAACCCCCAUUUUUGAGCAAAACAACAAAAAAAACCCUAAGAAACCCCAGGAAUUCGAGCAAAUUUGAUUAUGGGCAAAUACGAGCAAAUUCGAGCAAAAAAAUUGAGCAAAUUCGAACAAUUUCGAGCAAAAAAAAUCGAAUUAAAACACCAGGAAUUUGAUUGCAGAAAGAAUUUGGCUUCAUGUAGAUAUGGAUGCCUUUUAUGCUGCGGUUGAGACAUUGAGCAAUCCUUCGCUAAAGAGCAAGCCAAUGGCGGUUGGCAGCAUGUCUAUGAUAUCUACUGCUAAUUAUGAGGUAUGAAAAAUGUAAUAAAUUUUCAUAAGUCUGCCCAAACUAUACACCUGCUAAUUAAAUAAACAAAACCAUGGAACACUUGUACAAAUAAAAUUAAGACCUUUUUUGUUCUUUCCUUUUCACCCUUUUCACAAUCUAAUUGCUUGUUUGAUUCACUUGU